GACGAACGCUGGCGGCGUGCUUAACACAUGCAAGUCGAACGGUGAACGAGGGAGCUUGCUCCCUCCGGAUCAGUGGCGAACGGGUGAGUAACACGUGAGCAAUCUGCCCCGAACUCUGGGAUAAGCGUUGGAAACGACGUCUAAUACCGGAUACGACGCGGGAGGGCAUCCUCUCCGCGUGGAAAGAACUUCGGUUCGGGAUGAGCUCGCGCCCUAUCAGCUUGUUGGUGAGGUAACGGCUCACCAAGGCGACGACGGGUAGCCGGCCUGAGAGGGAGACCGGCCACACUGGGACUGAGACACGGCCCAGACUCCUACGGGAGGCAGCAGUGGGGAAUAUUGCACAAUGGGCGCAAGCCUGAUGCAGCAACGCCGCGUGAGGGAAGACGGCCUUCGGGUUGUAAACCUCUUUUAGCAGGGAAGAAGCGAAAGUGACGGUACCUGCAGAAAAAGCACCGGCUAACUACGUG
Molecule: ribosomal RNA, 470 nt
Filed under: uncultured bacterium
Lineage: Bacteria
Description: partial 16S ribosomal RNA
Rfam family: Bacterial small subunit ribosomal RNA
Source: RNAcentral